RNAcentral lists this ribosomal RNA (305 nucleotides) under uncultured bacterium. RNAcentral describes it as "bacterial SSU rRNA". It matches the Rfam family "Bacterial small subunit ribosomal RNA", at positions 338 to 640 of the family's 1533-position model. The record is from RNAcentral.
CCUACGGGAGGCAGCAGUGAGGAAUAUUGGUCAAUGGGCGGGAGCCUGAACCAGCCAAGCCGCGUGAAGGAAGAAGGCGCCAGGCGUCGUAAACUUCUUUUGUCGGGGAACAAAGGGCGCCACGCGUGGCGUUGUGAGUGUACCCGAAGAAAAAGCAUCGGCUAACUCCGUGCCAGCAGCCGCGGUAAUACGGAGGAUGCGAGCGUUGUCCGGAAUUACUGGGUGUAAAGGGAGCGCAGGCGGAUUGACAAGUUGGGAGUGAAAACUACGGGCUCAACCCGUAACCUGCUUUCAAAACUGUCAGU